UGAAUCGGAAAGCGGUGAAACGUUGGGUUCACAUUGCGGUACCACAUGCAUAGAGUCACAUGUCUUGCAUUGAGUCACAUUAGAGUUAUGUGAUAAUUGAAUGUUUGCAUUGAUGUGAUUGUGAGGUGUGUAUGAGAUAUAGUAAUUGAAUUUGGUGAUGUUUGGAUACAUAAUUUGGCAAAAUAUGUGAUUAUGUGAUAAUUGUAGUUAUGUAUAUAAUUGGGAAUAUAGUAUUGGAUUGUAAUAUU
This 248-nucleotide long non-coding RNA is filed under the name Lathyrus oleraceus (garden pea). RNAcentral's name for it is "Pisum sativum (pea) long non-coding RNA (PSAT_LNC026251)". Lineage: Eukaryota; Viridiplantae; Streptophyta; Magnoliopsida; Fabales; Fabaceae. The record is from RNAcentral.